UUUCCGUAGGUGAACCUGCGGAAGGAUCAUUACUGAGUGUUAGCACCUCGGGGUCCAACCUCCCACCCGUGUUUAGCGAACCUUGUUGCUCCGGCGGGGCCCCCUCGCGGCCGCGAAGCAGGAGCUGGCCCCGGGCCCGCACCCGCCGAAUCCACCGGGGAACGCUGUCUGAAGGGUACAAGCUGAUAAAAUUAAACAAUUAAUUAAAACUUUCAACGACGGAGCUUUUGGGUCGAGCAUCGAUGAACAAAGGAGCAGAUGGGAAGACCACACGUCCUA
RNAcentral lists this unclassified non-coding RNA (279 nucleotides) under plant metagenome. RNAcentral's name for it is "partial contains small subunit ribosomal RNA, internal transcribed spacer 1, and 5.8S ribosomal RNA". The record is from RNAcentral.